GACGAACGCUGGCGGCGUGCUUAACACAUGCAAGUCGAACGGAAAGGCCCUGCUUUUGUGGGGUGCUCGAGUGGCGAACGGGUGAGUAACACGUGAGUAACCUGCCCUUGACUUUGGGAUAACUUCAGGAAACUGGGGCUAAUACCGGAUAGGAGCUCCUGCUGCAUGGUGGGGGUUGGAAAGUUUCGGCGGUUGGGGAUGGACUCGCGGCUUAUCAGCUUGUUGGUGGGGUAGUGGCUUACCAAGGCUUUGACGGGUAGCCGGCCUGAGAGGGUGACCGGACACAUUGGGACUGAGAUACGGCCCAGACUGCUACGGGAGGCAGCAGUGGGGAAUAUUGCACAAUGGGCGGAAGCGUGAUGCAGCAACGCCGCGUGCGGGAUGACGGCCUUCGGGUUGUAAACCGCUUUAGCCUGUGACGAAGCGUGAGUGACGGUAAUGGGUAAAGAAGCACCGGCUAACUACGUG
Molecule: ribosomal RNA, 468 nt
Filed under: uncultured bacterium
Lineage: Bacteria
Description: partial 16S ribosomal RNA
Rfam family: Bacterial small subunit ribosomal RNA
Source: RNAcentral